This 84-nucleotide small nuclear RNA is filed under the name Dasypus novemcinctus (nine-banded armadillo). Its description in RNAcentral is "U4 spliceosomal RNA (ENSDNOG00000028936.1)". It matches the Rfam family "U4 spliceosomal RNA", at positions 1 to 84 of the family's 138-position model. Rfam says of the family: U4 small nuclear RNA (U4 snRNA) is a component of the major U2-dependent spliceosome. The structure of U4 snRNA from yeast and human has been reported. U4 snRNA presents a k-turn RNA motif in the 5p-SL related to recognition of Snu13 protein. The record is from RNAcentral. Lineage: Eukaryota; Metazoa; Chordata; Mammalia; Cingulata; Dasypodidae.
AGCUUUGCACAGUGGCAAUAUCGUAGCCAGUGUGAUUUAUCCAAGGCACGAUUAUUGCUAAUUGAAAACUUUUUCCGGUACCCC